AUGAAGGAACGGAGGGGUAGACUACGGAACUUAACCACCCUUCGUCAAAGGGGGCGUGAGGUGGGUGAUCUGGCUCAAGCGUUUUGGACUAUGGCGGUAGGGCGGGGGUAUAACGAUGAGGCACUAAAGGAUUUGUUUAAUGACUGCCUGGAUGACCCUUUGCCUCGGUGGGAGAUGAAGGGGCUGGAGAUCCUAGACUUUUGGGGGUUUACCCAUUACCUGCGCCAUCGUGCUCAAUGGGAUACUUCGACCACACCUGUGUCUCCAGAGAAGAUGGCCGCCAGCCCAGCGCCACAGCACAAGAUGGCCGCCAGCCCAGCGCCACAGCACAAGAUGGCCGCCAGCCCAGCGCCACAGCACAAGAUGGCCGCCAGCCCAGCGCCACAGCACAAGAUGGCCGCCAGCCCAGCGCCACAGCCCAAGAUGGCCGCGGAGACAUUAUUAAGUUACUUUUCCAGGAUGUGCCAGAUCCUUCCCAGGAGUACUCACAUCACGGCCGCUGAGCCAGCGCCAAUGCCCAAGAUGGCCACCAGUUCAGCACCACAGCACAAGAUGGCCGCCAGCCCAGCGCCAUUGCACAGGAUGGCCGCCAGCUCAGCGUGCCCAGCGCCACAGCACAAGAUGGCCGCCAGCCCAGCACCACAGCACAAGAUGGUUGACUCAACGCCUGAGUCUUCCGUCAAGGAGCCACCGGCACGCCAUCAUAGAGGCCGCAGGAGGAGGAGACAGGCGUCAGCCGUUCCUCAAAGCCCGGAGGACGUUCCCGAGCAGGCCGCUGCCGUCCAGGAGGACGUUCCCGAGCAGGCCGCUGCCGUCCAGGAGGACGUUCCCGAGCAGGCCGCUGCCAUCCAGGAGGACGUGCCCAAGGUUCCCGAGGCGGUGCCUGAUGCCGAAGCGGUGCCCGAUGCGGUUCCCGAUGCCGAGGCGGUGCCCGAUGCCGUUCCGGAGGUCGAGGCGGUACUCGAUGCCGAGGCAGUGACCGAUGCUGUUCCGGAGGCCGAGGCGGGGCCCGAUGCUGUUCCGGAGGCCGAGGCGGGGCCCGAGAUGGUGCCGGAGGCCGAGGCGGUGUCCGAGGCGGUGCCCGAGAUGGUUCCGGAGGCCGAGGCGGUGUCCGAUGCGCAGGCCGAGGCGAUGUCCAGGGCCGUUCCCGAGGCGGUGUCCUUGUCCCAUGCCGUUCCUGAGGCCGCUCCCAGGGCGGUGCCCGAGGUCGUGCCCGAGGUCGUUCCCGAGGCGGUGCCCGAGUCCAAGGCCGUUCCCGAGGCGGUGUCCAAUGCCGUGACCUGGCCAUCGCCACAGUCUGCUCCUCACUGGCUCCCCGAAUGGCAGGUUCCGUUCGGGCCACUCAAAUGGUGAAUUCCUCCCUGGCCGUCUGCACAACGAGAAUGGACUGAUCCACCGUGGCCACCUGAACUGCCUGGCCCCUCGUGGUCCCCUGAACUUUCGGGUCCACCGUGGCCACCUGAACUGCCUGGUCCCUCGUGGUCCCCUGAACUUUCGGGUCCACCAUGGCCCCCUGAUCUGACCGAGCCACCUGGGCUGCCAGGGGAGCCAUCGCUGCCGGUCCCAGUUCCCCUACACGGGCCUGGCCCGCCAUCCCUCCCCCUGUUCUGCCUCCACCAGUCCACCUCCCUCCUGGUCUCUUUGUUUUGUGUUUGUUUUGUUCUGAGGAGCAUCUGGAAGCUGCUCCUUAGAGGGGGGGUAGUGUCACGGUGUCUGGUUUGUGUAUCCCUGGGUGUCCACUAGAGGUCUCACUUCCCCUUAGCGUCACCCCACCUCAGAACUACAUUUCCCUUAGUCUUGUUUGUUUCAUCACUGCUCAUUGCACUCAGCUGUCCCUGGUCAUUAAUCAUUGCACUCAGCCAAUUCCCCGUUAGUAUUGUAAUCACCUGUCUAUAAAUACCUGGUUUGUUUCUGUCUUUGUUACGGAGUCCUUGUUUAAAGUCACCCUGCUGUUUCGUGUUUCCUUGCUUUGUUUGUGUUUCUUGUUUUGGACUGAUUACCUGGAUUUUGACCGUUGCCUGGCUAGAGUUAUGAUUUCUGGAUUACCCAUUAAACACUGCAUUUGGAUCUACCUCUUUGUGUGCGUUUCGUGACACUCAUAGGCUUCACACUUAUCCUGCUUGAAUUCGUUCUAAGAAACGCACAUCUUCAUAAGGACUAAACUUUCAUCUGUGAAUAUUAAAUAUUUUAACUAGCCUAAAGUGUUUCUGUCUUUCUGCAUUACAAAUAACAUUUCAUUUCACAUAUUAGAAAUAUUUUUCAUGUGGGCAAGCU
Molecule: long non-coding RNA, 2274 nt
Organism: Cyprinus carpio carpio
Lineage: Eukaryota; Metazoa; Chordata; Actinopteri; Cypriniformes; Cyprinidae
Source: Ensembl